CAAUCGGCCCUUUUCAGGGCCAACAACACCAGUGGCAAAUGUCUG
Aedes aegypti (yellow fever mosquito) is the source of this 45-nucleotide non-coding RNA. The record is from Rfam. NCBI's taxonomy places the organism in Eukaryota, Metazoa, Arthropoda, Insecta, Diptera, Culicidae.